GGCGAAAGGGUGAGUAACACGUGAGUAAUCUGCCUCUAACUCGGGGAUAGCCUUUGGGAACGAAGAUUAAUACCGGAUGUGACUGUUUUUCCGCAUGGUUAAACAGUUAAAAUUUUUUGGUUAGAGAUGGGCUCGCGUCCCAUUAGUUUGUUGGUAAGGUAACGGCUUACCAAGACUUUGACGGGUAGGUGGUCUGAGAGGAUGGUCACCCACACUGGAACUGAGACACUGUCCAGACUCCUACGGGAGGCUGCAGUCGAGAAUCUUCCGCAAUGGACGAAAGUCUGACGGAGCAAUGCCGCGUGAUUGAUGAAGGCCUUCGGGUUGUAAAAAUCUGUCACCUAGGACGAAAUUUGACGGUACUAGGAGAGGAAGUGACGGCUAACUACGUGCCAGCAGCCGCGGUAAUACGUAGGUCACGAGCGUUAAUCGGAUUUAUUGGGCGUAAAGGGUCC
RNAcentral lists this ribosomal RNA (455 nucleotides) under uncultured Lentisphaerota bacterium. RNAcentral describes it as "bacterial SSU rRNA". It matches the Rfam family "Bacterial small subunit ribosomal RNA", at positions 97 to 570 of the family's 1533-position model. Lineage: Bacteria; Pseudomonadati; Lentisphaerota. The record is from RNAcentral.